AUCAGUGAACAACAACAACAAAAGAAGGUGCUUACACUUUUAUCCCAUGUGGAUUUCUUUUUAAUAUUUCAGAGCAAUGAACAUAUGGCUGUUACUAUCAGCACUAGUGUAUUUGCGGCGAUGCCUAUCAACAUCCACCAGAGAGCAGGGCAGCUCCAAAACCCACAUCUUUUAUGCUGUGGAAAUUGAUGGAGACAGCAACACAGCCAGCUUCUUGGCCAAACAACAUGGAAUGCAGUUCAUUUCAAAGCCUGUAAGGCUUGUGCAUGAUGUAUAUGAGAGCGAUUUCCAGCAGAGCGAAGCUUAUCACAGAUCCACCUAAAAG
RNAcentral lists this long non-coding RNA (325 nucleotides) under Calidris pygmaea (Spoon-billed sandpiper). RNAcentral's name for it is "lncRNA (ENSCPGG00000005727.1)". Lineage: Eukaryota; Metazoa; Chordata; Aves; Charadriiformes; Scolopacidae. The record is from RNAcentral.